CAAUAGCGUAUAUUAAAGUUGUUGCAGUUAAAAAGCUCGUAGUUGGAUUUCUGGUAGGAGUGACCGUUCCGAACUUGAUUGUUCGUGUAUUGUGUUUUCUCCAGCCAUCCUUGUGGAGAACUUUUCUUGCAUUAAUUUGUAGGGAUUGGGACCCGCAUCGUUUACUGUGAAAAAAUUAGAGUGUUUAAAGCAGGCAAUCGCUUGAAUACAUUGGCAUGGAAUAAUAAGAUAGGACUUUGGUACUAUUUUGUUGGUUUGCAUACCAAAUUAAUGAUCAACAGGAACAGUUUGAGGAUAUUCGUAUGAACAUGUCAGAGGUGAAAUUCUUGGAUUUUGAUCAGACGAACUACUGCGAAAGCAUUUAUCAAGGAUGUUUUCAUUAA
RNAcentral lists this ribosomal RNA (383 nucleotides) under uncultured eukaryote. Its description in RNAcentral is "partial 18S ribosomal RNA". It matches the Rfam family "Eukaryotic small subunit ribosomal RNA", at positions 592 to 976 of the family's 1831-position model. The record is from RNAcentral.